RNAcentral lists this ribosomal RNA (467 nucleotides) under uncultured bacterium. Its description in RNAcentral is "partial 16S ribosomal RNA". It matches the Rfam family "Bacterial small subunit ribosomal RNA", at positions 28 to 507 of the family's 1533-position model. The record is from RNAcentral.
GACGAACGCUGGCGGCGUGCUUAACACAUGCAAGUCGAACGGAAAGGCCUCUUUCGGGGGGUACUCGGGUGGCGAACGGGUGAGUAACACGUGAGUAACCUGCCCUUGACUUUGGGAUAACUUCAGGAAACUGGGGCUAAUACCGGAUAGGAGCUCCUGCUGCAUGGUGGGGGUUGGAAAGUUUCGGCGGUUGGGGAUGGACUCGCGGCUUAUCAGCUUGUUGGUGGGGUAGUGGCUUACCAAGGCUGUGACGGGUAGCCGGCCUGAGAGGGUGACCGGCCACAUUGGGACUGAGAUACGGCCCGGACUCCUACGGGAGGCAGCAGUGGGGAAUAUUGCACAAUGGGUGGAAGCCUGAUGCAGCAACGCCGUGUGCGGGAUGACGGCCUUCGGGUUGUAAACCGCUUUCGCUCAUGACGAAGCUUUGUGUGACGGUAGUGGGUAAAGAAGCACCGGCUAACUACGUG